This 421-nucleotide ribosomal RNA is filed under the name uncultured archaeon. RNAcentral describes it as "bacterial SSU rRNA". It matches the Rfam family "Archaeal small subunit ribosomal RNA", at positions 458 to 879 of the family's 1478-position model. The record is from RNAcentral.
UCAGCCGCCGCGGUAAUACCAGCACCUCGAGUGGUUAGGAGGUUUAUUGGGCCUAAAGCAUCCGUAGCCGGCUAUGCAAGUCUCCGGUCAAAUCCAACUGCUUAACAGAUGGGCCGCCGGAGAUACUACAUAGCUAGGGAGCGGGAGAGGUAGACGGUACUCUGUGGGUAGGGGUAAAAUCCACUGAUCCAUAGAAGACCACCAGUGGCGAAGGCGGUCUACCAGAACGCGUUCGACGGUGAGGGAUGAAAGCUGGGGGAGCAAACCGGAUUAGAUACCCGGGUAGUCCCAGCUGUAAACGAUGCAAACUCGGUGAUGCACCGGCUUAAUGCCGGCGCAGUGCCGCAGGGAAGCCGUUAAGUUUGCCGCCUGGGAAGUACGGACGCAAGUCUGAAACUUAAAGGAAUUGGCGGGGGAGCAC